Molecule: ribosomal RNA, 459 nt
Filed under: uncultured bacterium
Lineage: Bacteria
Description: partial 16S ribosomal RNA
Rfam family: Bacterial small subunit ribosomal RNA
Source: RNAcentral
CCUACGGGUGGCAGCAGUGAGGAAUAUUGGUCAAUGGCCGGGAGGCUGAACCAGCCAAGUCGCGUGAGGGAAGACGGCCCUACGGGUUGUAAACCUCUUUUGUCAGGGAGCAAGGUGCAGGUCGGGACCUGCUGUGAGAGUACCUGAAGAAAAAGCAUCGGCUAACUCCGUGCCAGCAGCCGCGGUAAUACGGAGGAUGCGAGCGUUAUCCGGAUUUAUUGGGUUUAAAGGGUGCGCAGGCGGGCUUUUAAGUCAGCGGUAAAAAUUCGGGGCUCAACCCCGUCCGGCCGUUGAAACUGGGGGCCUUGAGUGGGCGAGAAGAAGGCGGAAUGCGUGGUGUAGCGGUGAAAUGCAUAGAUAUCACGCAGAACCCCGAUUGCGAAGGCAGCCUUCCGGCGCCCUACUGACGCUGAGGCACGAAAGUGCGGGGAUCGAACAGGAUUAGAUACCCCGGUAGUC